GCCUAUAACCUAGCCCAAUAAAAUCAAUAAUACCCCCUCCCCUUUUUCUUAUAAUUAUUAAAACAUUCUUACAUUUUAGUAAAGGAGAUUAAAAUUUUAUUAAGCGCUAUAUAUUAGUACCGCAAGGGAAAGAUGAAAUAAAAAUGAAACGCCCUUAAGCACAAAAAAGUAAAGAUCACCUCUUGUACCUUUUGCAUUAUGGUUUAACUAGUCUAAUCAAGCAGAAAGACCUAAAGUUUGACCCCCCGAAACUGAGCGAGCUACUCCAAGGCAGCCUUUAGAGCCAACCCGUCUCUGUAGCAAAAGAGUGGGAAGACCUUUGAGUAGGGGUGACAGACCUAACGAGCUCAGUGAUAGCUGGUUGUUUGAGAAAAGGAUUUAAGUCCAGCCUAAAAUUACUUUUAUAUACCCAAAUAAUCUUACAGUUUUAGAGUAAUUCAAGCAGGGUGCAGCCUACUUGAAACAGGACACAACCUAGGUUUGAGGGUAAUCUUUAUCUCUCCCCGGCGAUUAAGUAGGCCUAAAAGCAGCCACCUUUUAAAAAGCGUCAUAGCUUUAUCACCCAAAACAUGAUUUUAAACAGUAAUACGAACCCCCGCCACUGUAUCAAACAAUUCUAUAUAAUUAUAGAAGCUUUUAUGUUAAAACUAGUAACAAGAAUAAUAAUUCUCUACAAUGCAAACGUAAAUCAGGCAGGAUACACCGCUGAUAAUUAACACUCAUGAGUCAACAGAAGCAACUUAACAAGAAAACCCUUCUCUUUCCCAUGUUAACCUUACACAAGAGCAUUUUUAGAAAGAUUUAAAGAAAAAGAAGGAACUCGGCAAAAUUUGACCCCGCCUGUUUACCAAAAACACCGCCUCUUGAUAGAUCCAUGAGAGGUCCAGCCUGCCCAGUGACUUUGUUCAACGGCCGCGGUAUCCUAACCGUGCGAAGGUAGCGUAAUCAUUUGUUCUUUAAUUGAGGACUAGUAUGAACGGCACCACGAAGGUUAUACUGUCUCCUCUCUCUAAUCAGUGAAACUACUCUCCCCGUGAAGAAGCGGGGAUGAACUUAUAAGACGAGAAGACCCUAUGGAGCUUUAAACAUAACAACAACUGCCCCGCCCCCAGUUUUAUGUUCCCGAAAAAUUAUUUACCUAAGCAUUUUGAUUGUACGUUUUAGGUUGGGGUGACCGCGGAGCAAAAAACAACCUCCACACUGGAAGGGACCUUUCCCUAAGCCCAGGGCCACAGCCCCCAGAAUCAAUAAAUUGACACCUGUUGACCCAAUAUUUUGACCAAUGAACCAAGUUACCCUAGGGAUAACAGCGCAAUCCACUUUAAGAGCUCCUAUCGACAAGUGGGUUUACGACCUCGAUGUUGGAUCAGGGUUCCCUAGUGGUGCAGCCGCUGCUAACGGUUCGUUUGUUCAACGAUUAAAAUCC
Molecule: ribosomal RNA, 1426 nt
Filed under: Leptodactylus discodactylus (Vanzolini's Amazon frog)
Lineage: Eukaryota; Metazoa; Chordata; Amphibia; Anura; Leptodactylidae
Description: partial 16S ribosomal RNA
Rfam family: Bacterial large subunit ribosomal RNA
Source: RNAcentral